GGGGAAUUUUCCGCAAUGGGCGAAAGCCUGACGGAGUGACGCCGCGUGGGGGCCGAAGGCCUUCGGGUUGUAAACCCCUGUCAGAGGGAAAGAAGGGUGUCGGCGCGAUAACCGCCGGCACUUGACGGUACCUUCAGAGGAAGCCCCGGCUCACUCCGUGCCAGCAGCCGCGGUAAUACGGAGGGUGCGAGCGUUGUCCGGAAUCACUGGGCGUAAAGGGCGCGUAGGUGGCCUGGUAAGUAGGGGGUGAAAUCUUGCGGCUCAACCGCAAGACUGCCUCCUAAACUGCCUGGCUUGAGCACAGUAGAGGCAGGUGGAAUUCCCGGUGUAGCGGUGGAAUGCGUAGAGAUCGGGAAGAACAUCGGUGGCGAAGGCGGCCUGCUGGGCUGUUGCUGACACUGAGGCGCGACAGCGUGGGGAGCAA
RNAcentral lists this ribosomal RNA (424 nucleotides) under uncultured bacterium. Its description in RNAcentral is "bacterial SSU rRNA". It matches the Rfam family "Bacterial small subunit ribosomal RNA", at positions 356 to 771 of the family's 1533-position model. The record is from RNAcentral.